CCCAGGACUCUCCUCACCCACCCCUUCUAUGACGGAACACUCAACAAGCCCAGGGAUGGUCAUCUUUGUGAGUGGCAGUUAGAAUCCAUGAUCAAGCAGGAUCAAGUCAAUAGAAAUAUCUGCCUUUACAAACUUCCAAACUGGGACCCUCCCUGGUUAGAGGUGGACUGACCGACAGCCACAAUCAGUAUGGGUACAUCUACAAAUGGAGGCAGACAACCUGAAAAUGGUGCUGAGAUGGUGACUGUGAAACUGGGAACCACCCUUACCAUUGUCCGCACCUCCUCCUCAUCACUACCUAUGAAAGAGGAAGAGACAGAAUCCAGCCAGGAGGUUGCUAUCCCAGAGCACUGUA
Molecule: long non-coding RNA, 355 nt
Organism: Mesocricetus auratus (golden hamster)
Lineage: Eukaryota; Metazoa; Chordata; Mammalia; Rodentia; Cricetidae
Exons: 3
Source: RefSeq, a predicted model, not a curated record